This 523-nucleotide ribosomal RNA is filed under the name uncultured microorganism. RNAcentral describes it as "bacterial SSU rRNA". It matches the Rfam family "Bacterial small subunit ribosomal RNA", at positions 9 to 527 of the family's 1533-position model. The record is from RNAcentral.
GAGUUUGAUCCUGGCUCAGAUUGAACGCUGGCGGCAGGCCUAACACAUGCAAGUCGAGCGGAUGAAGGGAGCUUGCUCCUGGAUUCAGCGGCGGACGGGUGAGUAAUGCCUAGGAAUCUGCCUGGUAGUGGGGAUAACGUCCGGAAACGGGCGCUAAUACCGCAUACGUCCUGAGGGAGAAAGUGGGGGAGUCUUCGGACCUCACGCUAUCAGAUGAGCCUAGGUCGGAUUAGCUAGUUGGUGGGGUAAAGGCCUACCAAGGCGACGAUCCGUAACUGGUCUGAGAGGAUGAUCAGUCACACUGGAACUGAGACACGGUCCAGACUCCUACGGGAGGCAGCAGUGGGGAAUAUUGGACAAUGGGCGAAAGCCUGAUCCAGCCAUGCCGCGUGUGUGAAGAGGGUCUUCGGAUUGUAAAGCACUUUAAGUUGGGAGGAAGGGCAGUAAGUUAAUACCUUGCUGUUUUGACGUUACCAACAGAAUAAGCACCGGCUAACUUCGUGCCAGCCGCCGCGGUAACACC